CCUACGGGGGGCAGCAGUGGGGAAUAUUGGACAAUGGGGGGAACCCUGAUCCAGCCAUGCCGCGUGUGUGAAGAAGGCCCUCGGGUUGUAAAGCACUUUCAGUGAGGAAGAACGCCUGGUGGUUAAUACCCAUCAGGAAAGACAUCACUCACAGAAGAAGCACCGGCUAACUCCGUGCCAGCAGCCGCGGUAAUACGGAGGGUGCGAGCGUUAAUCGGAAUUACUGGGCGUAAAGCGCGCGUAGGUGGCUUGAUAAGCCGGUUGUGAAAGCCCCGGGCUCAACCUGGGAACGGCAUCCGGAACUGUCAAGCUAGAGUGCAGGAGAGGAAGGUAGAAUUCCCGGUGUAGCGGUGAAAUGCGUAGAGAUCGGGAGGAAUACCAGUGGCGAAGGCGGCCUUCUGGACUGACACUGACACUGAGGUGCGAAAGUGUGGGUAGCAAACAGGAUUAGAUACCCUGGUAGUC
Molecule: ribosomal RNA, 465 nt
Filed under: Vreelandella stevensii
Lineage: Bacteria; Pseudomonadati; Pseudomonadota; Gammaproteobacteria; Oceanospirillales; Halomonadaceae
Description: partial 16S ribosomal RNA
Rfam family: Bacterial small subunit ribosomal RNA
Source: RNAcentral